This 253-nucleotide ribosomal RNA is filed under the name uncultured bacterium. Its description in RNAcentral is "partial 16S ribosomal RNA". It matches the Rfam family "Bacterial small subunit ribosomal RNA", at positions 524 to 776 of the family's 1533-position model. The record is from RNAcentral.
UACGAGAGGCCCAAACGUUAUUCGGAAUUACUGGGCGUAAAGGGAGCGUAGGCGGGUUAUCAAGUUGGAGGUGAAAGCCCAGGGCUCAACCUUGGAAUUGCCUUCAAAACUGAUAGCCUAGAGUAUGAUAGAGGUAAGUGGAACUCCGAGUGUAGAGGUGAAAUUCGUAGAUAUUCGGAAGAACACCAGUGGCGAAGGCGACUUACUGGAUCAUGACUGACGCUGAGGCUCGAAAGCGUGGGGAGCAAACAGG